Molecule: small nucleolar RNA, 108 nt
Organism: Lupinus angustifolius (narrow-leaved blue lupine)
Lineage: Eukaryota; Viridiplantae; Streptophyta; Magnoliopsida; Fabales; Fabaceae
Rfam family: Plant small nucleolar RNA R71
About the family: R71 is a member of the C/D box family of snoRNAs containing the C (UGAUGA) and D (CUGA) box motifs. Multiple nearly identical copies of this snoRNA have been identified in Arabidopsis, and it is thought to function as a 2'-O-ribose methylation guide for 18S ribosomal RNA.
Source: Rfam
AACUCAUGGUUGGGACACUUCCUCAGCAACAUCUGGAAACGCUCCCAUGCCUCAUAAAAAGCUUCCUCAACACCUUGUCUAAAUGUUGAGAUUUCGAACUUUGCAUGC